GGCGGUGCAACGAUCGGGGCGAGCUCGGCGGCGCCAGCGGCCUUCUAUGGCAUCCGUCUCCACCCUCGGCGUCUUAUCGCUUGUAAGACCCCCCUCCUCUUCUUAACCUCUCCUCCUCCAUUAAUUUCUGAAUUUCUAGGGUUAGGGUUAUUGAUUUUUGGGAGCAGUGCAGGGGAAGGGGAAGAAACUAGGGAAGAAAAGGAAAAAAAAGAGGAGUUUAGGGAGUGAUGGAAGUGAUGCUGGAGACAGGCACCUGACAGUGAGAUGAUGGAGGUGGAGAAGAAGGCCUAGCCGAUGACAUAGAAGAAGAGGAGAGCUCAAUGCUACGGAGCAAAAGGAACAACGGUAGAGUAUCAGACUUUGAUUCAGCUGAGACAUUUUAGUUUUUUCGCAAGACAUGUGAAUCCUCUCUGCGUUUCUGCUUUUGUUUAGAAUUCACGAAUUUUCUUCCUUGUAGCUAUAAAUGAUGGUUCCGACUUAAUUGGAUGUUAGUAAU
This 496-nucleotide long non-coding RNA is filed under the name Triticum aestivum (bread wheat). Its description in RNAcentral is "long non-coding RNA (TAES_LNC019420)". Lineage: Eukaryota; Viridiplantae; Streptophyta; Magnoliopsida; Poales; Poaceae. The record is from RNAcentral.